CUUGGUCAUUUAGAGGAAGUAAAAGUCGUAACAAGGUUUCCGUAGGUGAACCUGCGGAAGGAUCAUUAACAAAUCAUGCGCUGGCCUUCGGGCCGCGUACAUACACCCUAAGCCUAGGCUUCGGCCUGGCUUUCGGUUCAGGUGUCCGCAAGGAUUACCGACAUAGACGCUUGUAUGUUUGACAGUUUGAGUUGGAAUCAAAAAUGACAACUUUUAACAAUGGAUCUCUUGGCUCUUGCAACGAUGAAGAACGCAGUGAAAUGCGAAAAGUAAUGCGAUUUGCAUGAAUCUGUGAGUCAUCAAGUCUUUGAACGCACCUUGCACCGUGUGAGCAAUUGCACGGUAUACCUGUUUGAGAAUCGUAAAACUCUCUUUCUCACUCUUAGUGAGGAGAUUUGUUGGUCGUCGACGCAAGUUGACCCCGAUUAAAAGGAGUAGGCUGGGCCCCAUCAGUGGUCCGGGACAUUGUGUGCUAGAGACGUCCGGGUUUACCCGAACCGUCUUCUCACAGUGCGUCCCGGGCUAUUCAAGCUGGUGGUGUCAUCAUGUCUUACAGCGCGGUCCCUCGGGUCCGCUCACCCCCUCUUUUUGAUCUCAAAUCAGGUAAGGCUACCCGCUGAACUUAAGCAUAUCAAUAAGCGGAGGA
Molecule: ribosomal RNA, 646 nt
Filed under: uncultured fungus
Lineage: Eukaryota; Fungi
Description: eukaryotic LSU rRNA
Rfam family: 5.8S ribosomal RNA (bases 209-362)
Source: RNAcentral